UCCCUGACCCUGCCGUAUGCUCCUCCCCGUCAAUUCGGUUAGUCGCCAGGUGCAUCGCCUCACUGAGAUAUCACCAUGAAUAUUCCUUUUCAAGACUGUCCAUAUUUUGUUCUGUUAAAGGGCUUUGUUAGAAAAUCUGAUUUAACUGAGUAUUAUUCUGCUCUAAAUUGCGGCCCCUUCUGGUUGUGAGUGGAUCCAAGAGUUCACAUGAUGCAGUAUCUUUUUGAAAGAUGAUACAUUAUCUUCAUAAAAGAAAGGAAGUUGGAGGAGUUAUUAUUGAAGAGGGAUUCAGUGACUUCCCGAAGGAGAAGAAGGAGGUGCGGAAAGAGGAUGGGAGCAACAAAUCUGAAUCAAAGAGGGUGAGAAUUACUUAUCGAUGACUCGGGCAUCAACUCUUGAUUUUCGGCGGAAGACACAAGGUCAGAACAACUGGUCUGGGCCGUUGCGCCUAGUAAAUGUCAUCAGAAAUAAAUUCCCUACCUACAAGAAUGGUACGAAUGGGAUAGUCAUCAAAUUUGCUGAUGAGCCAGAAACGCCAUGACUUAAGGAGUCUGUUGCCAAAGAGACAGCAGAUCUGCUUGAUCGGCGUCAGCGUCUUUCAGUCCGCGAGCUCGCAAUGAAAUUUGAGAAGGGCCUCAGUACUGCCACAUUAUUAUCUAAUGAGGUUAAAUGUAAACAAGUGGCUUUAUUGGAGCGAGACAUCCUUCUGAAG
This is a long non-coding RNA of Triticum aestivum (bread wheat), 712 nucleotides long. RefSeq lists it as uncharacterized. The transcript is spliced from 4 exons. NCBI's taxonomy places the organism in Eukaryota, Viridiplantae, Streptophyta, Magnoliopsida, Poales, Poaceae. The record is from RefSeq and is a predicted model, not a curated record.